AUGCUUGCUUCAGCAACACAUAUUCCAAAACUGGAACAGUACAGAGAUUAGCAUGGCCCCUGUGCAAGGAUGACAUGCAAAUUUGUGAUGCAUUCUGUAUUUAU
Small nuclear RNA from Gorilla gorilla gorilla (western lowland gorilla), 104 nucleotides. The record is from Ensembl. NCBI's taxonomy places the organism in Eukaryota, Metazoa, Chordata, Mammalia, Primates, Hominidae.